AGGACGAACGCUGGCGGCGUGCCUAACACAUGCAAGUCGAGCGAGGAGAUCCUUCGGGAUGAUCCUAGCGGCGGACGGGUGAGUAACACGUGGGCAACCUGCCUCAUAGAGAGGAAUAGCCUUCCGAAAGGGAGAUUAAUACCUCAUAACAUUGCAGUUUCGCAUGAAACAGCAAUUAAAGGAGCAAUCCGCUAUGAGAUGGGCCCGCGGCGCAUUAGCUAGUUGGUGAGGUAACGGCUCACCAAGGCGACGAUGCGUAGCCGACCUGAGAGGGUGAUCGGCCACAUUGGGACUGAGACACGGCCCAGACUCCUACGGGAGGCAGCAGUGGGGAAUAUUGCACAAUGGGGGAAACCCUGAUGCAAGCAACGCCGCGUGAGUGAUGACGGCCUUCGGGUUGUAAAGCUCUGUCUUCAGGGACGAUAAUGACGGUACCUGAGGAGGAAGCCACGGCUAACUACGUGCCAGCCGCUGC
This 475-nucleotide ribosomal RNA is filed under the name uncultured bacterium. RNAcentral's name for it is "bacterial SSU rRNA". It matches the Rfam family "Bacterial small subunit ribosomal RNA", at positions 26 to 518 of the family's 1533-position model. The record is from RNAcentral.